Molecule: long non-coding RNA, 6487 nt
Organism: Ictalurus punctatus (channel catfish)
Lineage: Eukaryota; Metazoa; Chordata; Actinopteri; Siluriformes; Ictaluridae
Source: Ensembl
UGACAAUUGUACAUAAUCAAGUACAUUAAGUGAUGGUAAGCGUCAUUAAACAGGGACAGAUCAGCACAGCAUACAAAGACAUACACGUUUAGUAUGUAGUUUAAAAUUUUAUUGUAAAAUUGAAAAAAAGAGAAAGAGAAAAGCCCAUUAUGCAUUUCCUUUUGAUGUCUUUUUUUUUUUUAAUGUAAUCCUUAAAUAAAGCAAUUCAUGAUCACACAAAUGAACUCCUAAAUAAAUAAAUAAAUAAAUAAAUAAAUAAAUAAAUAAAUUAUUGACAGAAUACUAUAUAAUUUGUUUGGCAUGACAAUAAAUCUUUGCAAAUACCUGAAAAAAGUCAACACUGGAAUGUUUGGCUUCUCAGGAGAAGACCAAACUACAUCAGCUCUGCAUCGUAAAAAAUAAUUACUGCACUGCGUCUCAUUUUAGAAUUUUGAGCAGAACAUGAACUUUACUCUUCUUGUUACCUGAAAAAUAGGAGGAGAAAAAAGCAACAACAAAAAAAAAAAGCACAAAAAAACAUAAAGAAAUAAAAAGCGACUGUAAACAGCAUUGUCUCAUCCGGGCUGUAACCAGACUUCCUGCUUCACCCAUCACACACGUCCACGUGCUUUUCAGCAAAUCCAGUAUACAGUAUAUAGACUUCCACAGGUUUUGUGCUGAGAAACCAGAAGUUAAAGACGGUCUUAUAAAGCAGAAAACCCACAACCCCACCCUCCCCUCUUCGCCCAGCAGAGACCCCCUGAAAGGUUCCUGUGCUCAUGUUCCCUAAUAUACACAUUUUAGAUCUAUAAUAAGCUACUUUCCUUAGCAUACAAACCAUAGGUAAUUAAUUAAAGAAUCAUAUUGUUAAUACGAGUAGUACCAUUAAUAUACUUUAUGCCCCGCUGUACCCGCCCACCCACCACCGUGUCUGAACAUGCUCAAACAUCACACUGGGCUUCAUGGUGUGAGAAAACUCAACUCUGAACAUGAAUACAGCUGGAAUGAAAACACAAAUGAGAAAUGCUGGUGAUUUGGAGCACUAGUAACUUUAAGCAGUACAACAGAGCCUGUGCAGCCCUUUUUUUUCUUUUCUUUUUUUUUUUAAGAGCAAAACAUGAUAAGCUUAACUCACACUAACACACACAUCCUUGAUCACCCCCAUGUUUACUCCAUUUUAUUGGUUUUUCUCAUCUUUUUUCCCAUCUCGCUGUAAUGAUAUCAUGUCUCAAACUUAUUAAACUUCAGGCGUGAGUUGCCAUUUUUAAUUUGCAUUAGGGCCUGCUGUUAUGUGAGGGCCAAAUUUAAUUUGAUUUUAAUAAUUCACGUGUCUGGAAUGUUGAGAUUCGGAGAGGACGCAUGGUUAUUAGAGCACGGAUGCCAGAGGGCUGCAUAUGUGUACAGUAUAUUACCAUGUUGUCAUUCAUUAUCGGCGGAAAAGCAGAGACGAGGUGAACAGAGGUCCGGAGGAAAACAAUCAUGGUACCAUGUUCUAUACCGAGUUUCCAAUUUCAAUAUAAAACAUAGCGACCCAUCCAUAGGGGCAGGUUAGGCAGACCUCCACUAUAUCAACCGUUUAACAAAUCAUAAUUUAAUCUUUUUCAAUUUUUCAAUCACAACUCCAUACAUUUUAAAUUACGUUGAAAUACUAAUGACCUCUUUUGAGUGACCAAUGAUUUAAAAACAUGUUGCUCUUUCUGAUAUUUCUAGCUGUUGCGCAAUUCCAUAGAGUUUUUAUUGCACCUACUGGUCAAAAACAAAUGCUAAUAGAGGUCCAAUGUGUAAAGAAUCACUCUAAAUCUUGCUUGCUUUAUGGGAAUAGGAGCAGUGGACAAAUCAGCUUGCCAAAUUGGGCUAGUUUAAAAAUAUUCUGUGGCUGCUGUGAUAUCAAAUAAUCCGAAUUAAAUCGAAUAAAUUUCCGCAAACAAAAGUGAAGAUGUACGGUACCGUUGAUGAUGUACGGUACCGUUUCUUUCUAUUGUAAGAUAUAUUGCAAAGAUUGGGAGAGGGGAAGGGGGAUUAUGGGAUAUGGGACAUCAUGAGGAUAAUGGGUGUGACUCGAUCAGCUCCCUAGUUCGUGAAUCAGUAUAUUGUGUACAGGAGUUUGGGCACUGGUAAGGAUCCUGGCUCCCUACACUCUGGGACAUUGAUAACUCAAUUUUCAGUAACAUGAGUACAUACUCACGUUGUAAAACGUCACCAAAAAUAAAAACUUCAAAAUAUUUGUUUUAUGUGUUGUAUAAAUUUGUUAGCUUAAUCACACGGCUUUCUGUCAUUGUAAGUCAAGCAGGAUCGUACACUACCUAGCAGGUUUUCUGUUUAAAUCAUUAAACGCUUAAAAGUCCUGCAACUCAAACCGUAUAUAGAACGUCAAAUAAAGUUCAAAAUCGCUAAUGUAAGUAGUCAUUUGAGAGCUACAACAACAAUAACAAGCUACUUACAUUUGUAGCCAGAAGAUAGCUAAGAGUUUGUCUGCCCUUUUUUUUUUCCGAGCUAAAAGGCUUCAGAGAAUAUGACGUCACUGUAGUAAGGGAACAUAGUGAACUUCAAGGAAUUUUUUUAAGGAACGAAUGUUCCAACUGUAUAUUGUCAACUCUCAACUGUCUAUUACUCUGAAAAUUCACUAGAUUAUAACCUAUAGCAGAAGUCAACUGUGACAGCCUCUCAACUUCAUUUUGUUAGAGGCUAUGUUAUUAAUGUUGUUCUGCGCCACCAAAAUCUAUGGUCACGAGCCGCUCCUGAUAGCAACAGAUUUCUGGGUUUGCCAAAAGGGUCAAAAUAUAGAAUUAAAUGAAAUGAAAAUGAAAUUUGAUUUUUUUUUUCUAUUGUUCUAAGUUGUUGCACCCUGUCACCUGCAUAAUGAUACUAUACAGUUCAAAAUCUCUAACCAUGAAGGUGAUAAUAUAUGAGUAAUUAUAAAUAGAUGACAUGAGACAUGAUAGAUGAUAAAAAAUAAAGCAAAACAUUUGCAAUUUGGAGUGAAUAAGAAAAAAAAUUUAAAAAAAUAUUUUUACAAAAACAACAACACCCUUUUCAGCUCUUUAUGAGGGACUCAGUGGACGUUCGCCAUGUUAUAGAGGAAUGCAGGUCCAUCCUCUGACCUUUUGUCAACAGCGUGUCUCUGUGUGUGCUUGUAUGUGUGUGUGCUUGUGUGUGUGUGUGUGUGUUUGUGUGCUAUUCAUCAGACAGAACACCAGCAGCUGCUGUAAGUACAUCGUGGCAUCGGUGUCUGUGCCAUUUAAACUGCCCUCACUGUGGCCUUACUAACAGCACUCAUUCUUCAGGCUCACUAAACUAUUUUUCACAGCUUUAAGAUGUGCCUCGUCACUAUCUUAAUUUUCCUAAUGACAUUUGUGACCUGUAUUAUUAAACACUGGUCUGGUCUGCAUCGAUAAAGCGAUCCCGCGGUGAGCUUGUCUCAAGCUUUUGUUAUAUAAAGUGUAAAAAAAAAAAAAAUGAACUCACUCAUGUGUAAUUGAUUGUGCAGAAGUGGCCCUGAGGCUGAGGCUGGCGGUUUGAUCAAUACGAACCGUAUGGUAACGAUGUGGGGUGUUGGGCCGUAGGUGCCAGGAUUACCAUAAUCCCUGUUAAAGGACCCUCGAGGCUUUAGAGUUAUAUAGGAAACUAUAAGGAGUAGGACAGAAUACUGUAAUAGUCGGCUAAGCUGGGAAGCUCAAGACGUUUUUUUGGCUAGGGUCGGUGUCAUUUGUCGAGAACUCAGAUUUCUGUAAUAUAAUGGCUUAGAUAAAUAAAAAAAAAGCUCAUGUUUACACAGUGUGCCUGCUGCUGAUGGAGAUGUUAAAGGGAAAGAAAAUGAACACAAUGUCAAAAGUUUGCUGGCCAUUCACUUCUGAUAAUUUUGACUAAUCUGUUAAUGAAGAUCUUUUGUUAUCUUAAAUGGUUUGGUUAUUGUUCAUUUUAGUUUCAAUGUAGUUAAAAAAACAGCUAUUUUAGUCAACAGAAAAGCAUCGAUAUCAUCUUUUAAACUAAUUCUCGUAAACUGCUUUUGCCUCAUCGGUAUCUUAUUUUUUUUUUAUUUUGAACCUGUGUUAUUUAACAGUGUUCUGGCCUGCAGGGCCAAUCAAUCACUGUUAUGUUCUUUUUAAAUAGCCAUAACAAAGCACAAAUGGGUAAUUAUAGUUUUAGAUGUUUUAAUUUCCUCUUAAAUGUAACACUAAAAUGUUUUACAAAUGCAUAUUACAGGCUUAGUAAAGCCUUUCAACUUUUCCAAUAGUGUUUGUUAAGUGAAAGCUCUGAAACGAUCAUAGAGCUAUGACUUAGUCUGUAACACACAGCGGGGAAGUAAAAAAGUACGUUACAAAUAAGUUAACUUCGGAUGUUUGUGGGGUGUCUUCAGGUAUGCUAGUUCUAGCUAGGGACAAACAAAGCAGCAUUUUCUCCCAAAAUAUCAUCAUGCUAAUGCAUGACAGCAUCCCUAUCUCCAUCUCAAGCCAGUUUAAUGUUAGCCUAAUGAUUUUACACCAAAUUAUGCUAGUUUUGAAACAGGUAAUGACCAGAAAAAAAGCAAGUCUGAAGGUGGGACUUGAUUUGGGGUUAUUUGUUUUGUUUUUUUUUUUUUUUUUAUUUUUUUUUUGGGGGGGGGGGGGGGGGGGGGGCUAGAUUAAAAUAUUAAAUUUCAAAUUGAAUCAAUGUCCAUGAAAAUAGACUGUGGCAAACAAAGCGAACGUGUACAUGCAGGCAAUACUUGUGUUGUAGUGGGAACUAUACACUAACACUAGUCUUAAAUGAGAAUCAAAGACUGAAAGAAAGUUGUGACAUUAAGAGGUUAUAAAGUAAAGGAUGGAUUUUUAAAAAAUAAAUUUUUCUUUCACAAUUACUUGCAGGGCUUUUUAGGACUGGAAGGACUGGAAAGAGCUUGUCUAGCUGAGUAGUUCUGACAUGUUAUCUUGUCAUUUUGUCCUAUAAUUUGAGUAAAAGGGUGAAUUAAUUUUUAAGGAGCAAGGAGUCUAAUGUUGGUGCAAAACUAAAGAUGCAAACUUCAGAAAUAAUACAAGUUCUGAAUGAUAGAUUAUGUUUGUGUAAUUGGGGAAAUUGUGUGCAUUUCAUAAUGCCUGAACUACUUACUUAACCGUGUUGCUGAUGCAUUUUAUCCUAUGUGGUUUGUCCAAAGAAAAUGUAGAUACUACUCACUAUUUUAAUGUCUGUUUACUUAUAUAUACUAUACUAUAACUAUUACUAUACUAUAACUAGUAUAGUAGUAUAACUAUUACUAUAACUUUUGGCCAGUUCAGUGAGUGUAAGUGUCAGUGAGUGUAAUUUCUCUGGCACAUGUGCUUAAAUUGAAUGUCUGAGUGAAUGUGAAGGUCAGACGUGGAGCUGAAAGGCAGUGGGUCAGUGCCACGCGUCCCAGAUAAAGAGUUUAAAUCCCUACUGAUGAAAUAUAACUGAACGCGCCCUUAACAAUCUCCCAUCCACAUAUACUACUCCUCUAAAAUAGUAUAGCUUUUAAAAUACUUUUUUUUCUUCUUCUUUUUUUCUAUUUUGUUUAAAUAUUCUGAAACCCAGUAGUUAUAAAUGUAAAAGGAAAAGAAAUCAAAAUCUCUUUCCUCUUCCAACCUGAAGCAAGUAUUUCAUCUUAAGAUUUUUUUUGUUGUUUUUUUUCAAACAUGUAACAUCAUUAAGUAGUAGUUUGUAGUAUUAGUAUCAUCAUUAAUACUAUAUAUUACUGUCGAACAAUAAAAAGGUUUUUGGUCCUUUGGUCCCUUGGAGUGAAAGAUUUUUCAGUUGCACUGUACCUCUGGAAACCUCCGUGACCACAGAAGGCCAAAAGUCUUGCGCUUGCUCAGAGACAUGAAGACAGUUGAAAGAGAACAACAGAGAAAGAGAAAGGUCUGCCAGUGGUUAAAAAGAGCAUUUUUUUUCCUCCACAGCCUUUUUCCUUGAUUUUCAAGUUUUAACCCUUAUUUGUCCAGUACCGUUAAAAGCUGGAAGCGCCUCUUCCAUAAUAUAGCACGUGUAUAUAAUAUGUAUAUAGAAAUCUAUGUUGUUCUUGCUGCUCUUUUUUUGUUUGUUGCGUAUUUGUCGACUCAGUCUUAGCGAGAGAAGUUCUGUAGCUUAAAAGUUCUUGUCUUUUGGGAUUUCCCACCAUGAUCCUGCUUUGACUUUCUCACUCUGUGCUGCUUGUAGUUUGUCUGUAGUGUGCCGCUCCUCCGGCAUCUCUCUCAGAUGAACGUCUUCAUAAGGAUAUGCUGAUAUGUCUUCGAAAAAAAAACCCUUUCAUCUUCUUUUUAUUUUUAUCUUGUUUUAUUUAUUUUUAAAGAAAAAAAAUCAAGCUCCUUUUGAGAUUUCACUUUUCAAAACCUAUAAAGGAUAUAUAAAAAAAAAACAGAUAACACUGAAUUUACUUCAAAAACAUCUUACUGAAAGUUACUGCUGAAAAAAAGGCUGAUUCAAGUUCUGUGUACAUUGUGUUCAUUCGUUUUUGCUUGUUUGUUCGUUCCUAAAUGAAAACAAAUGCACUCUCACACACAUACAUACAUAUAUAUAC